AAACGCAACGCGGCUGCUCAGCGCUACGCCCCGUGCGGCCUUAAAAGAGGGCCGAGCCAACAGUGGCAACAGCGGGUUACCUUAACUUAGGCGAUCCGAAAUGCUGAUCCCUCAUAGCGGGCUUUAACUGGCCCUCCUGGAUCUCCAUGAAGCCCUACAACACCCCUUGCUUCGCACUCUCCCCCACCUCCGUGGAGCUCUGCCUGGCGGUUGCUGCCUGCAGAAAGCCCAGAGCCCAACAUCUGAAGGAUGUUUUAAAGCGUGGGGGGUUGCAUCAUGGCCAGAGCACGGCUAUUUGCAGCGUCACAAGAGCGGCUCCCAGGCUGCACCACGUCAGGUUUCUGCAUGCAGGAGGACAAACGCACAGCACUGUGAUGUACACCCGUCUGCCUUCCUGUACGAGCAAAUGGGUGCGCACACAGGGGUGGAAAUGGCAAGUACUACACUGAAGAAAGGCCUAUGCUUGGGCACAGAUUUGGGGCCCUGAAACAUUUUCCCAUCACCUGAAUGAACGCAAACUUGGACAGUGGCAAAAUCUGACUACAGGCCAGACCUAAAUAGGGCAUUUAGUUGUGCUGACCCUGAGCACAGCUCUAACUCUCACGUGCCUGAGAGGAACAUGGGAACUGCCAAUGGAUGUCCAAGGCUCAUCUGGCCCAUAGGGACCAGGUAGGUGCAGCAGGUCAGGCUGCA
Molecule: long non-coding RNA, 693 nt
Filed under: Gallus gallus (chicken)
Lineage: Eukaryota; Metazoa; Chordata; Aves; Galliformes; Phasianidae
Description: long non-coding RNA NONGGAT003778
Source: RNAcentral